RNAcentral lists this ribosomal RNA (492 nucleotides) under uncultured bacterium. Its description in RNAcentral is "partial 16S ribosomal RNA". It matches the Rfam family "Bacterial small subunit ribosomal RNA", at positions 29 to 507 of the family's 1533-position model. The record is from RNAcentral.
AUUGAACGCUGGCGGCAUGCUUUACACAUGCAAGUCGAACGGUAACAGGCCUUCGGGUGCUGACGAGUGGCGAACGGGCGAGUAAUGCAUCGGAACGUACCCAGCGCUGGGGGAUAACGCAGCGAAAGCUGUGCUAAUACUGCAUGUGAUCUGAGGAUGAACGCGGGGGACCGAGCAGCAAUGUUUGGCCUCGCGCCUUUGGAGCGGCCGAUGUGGGAUUAGAUAGUUGGUGGGGUAAAGACCUACCAAGUCGACGAUCCGUAGCUGGUCUGAGAGGACGACAGGCGACACUAGGACUGGGCCACGGCCCAGACUACUGCGGGAGGGAGCAGUCGGGAAUGUUGGACAACGGGCGCGAGCCUGAUCCAGCAAUGCCGCGUGCGGGAAGAAGGCCUUCGGGUUGUAAACCGCUUUUGGCAGGAACGAAACGGUGUCCGCUAAUACCGGGCGCUAAUGACGGUACCUGCAGAAUAAGCACCGGCUAACUACGUG